CCUCCUUUUCUCCGCAUUCGGGAAUCUUCCACAAUGGACGAAAGUCUGACGUCUCCCCUCCUCUUUCUUUCCUCCUUUUUUCGGCUCGUAAAGCUCUGUUGGUAGUGAAGAAAGAUAGAGGUAGUAACUGGCCUUUAUUUGACGGUAAUUACUUAGAAAGUCACGGCUAACUACGUGCCAGCAGCCGCGGUAAUACGUAGGUGGCAAGCGUUGUCCGGAUUUAUUGGGCGUAAAGCGAGUGCAGGCGGUUCAAUA
This 255-nucleotide ribosomal RNA is filed under the name uncultured bacterium. Its description in RNAcentral is "partial 16S ribosomal RNA". It matches the Rfam family "Bacterial small subunit ribosomal RNA", at positions 338 to 585 of the family's 1533-position model. The record is from RNAcentral.